This 902-nucleotide ribosomal RNA is filed under the name Paradeontacylix olivai. RNAcentral describes it as "partial large subunit ribosomal RNA". It matches the Rfam family "Eukaryotic large subunit ribosomal RNA", at positions 49 to 644 of the family's 3401-position model. Lineage: Eukaryota; Metazoa; Platyhelminthes; Trematoda; Strigeidida; Aporocotylidae. The record is from RNAcentral.
AGCGGAGGAAAAGAAACUAACCAGGAUUCCCUUAGUAACGGCGAGUGAACAGGGAUGAGCCCAGCACCGAAGCCUGCGGUCAUUUGGCUGCUAGGCAAUGUGGUGUUUAGAUUGGUUUUUGGCAUUUCUGCUUCAUCCUAAGUCCAUCAAUGAGUACGGCUAAUGGACCGGCCCAAAGAGGGUGAAAGGCCCGUGUGGAUGAAGAUCAAGUAAGACAGAAGUGCUUUGAACGGAUCUUGGAGUCGGGUUGUUUGUGAAUGCAGCCCAAAGUGGGUGGUAGACUCCAUCCAAGGCUAAAUACUGGCACGAAUCCGAUAGCAAACAAGUACCGUGAGGGAAAGUUGAAAAGUACUUUGAAGAGAGAGUAAACAGUGCGUGAAACCGCUCAGAGGUAAACGGGUGGAGUUGAACUGGAAUCCACGGGAAUUUAACUGAUGAGUAUGGCAUGCGCUUGGGCAUGUUGGCCUGCAAUGAAGAUUUGCUUAGUUGCUGCCCAAGUCAUCUGAUUUUGGGUGCACGUUGCACUUAUCAUGUGUUGUGUGCUUUUGUUGCAUUGGGCUUGCUUGUCAGUGCAUUUUCUCGGGGUGAUCACCACGACCGGCGUGGUUGUCUGUUUGCUGCGGUUAAACCAACCAGAUUUGGUCAUUUUGGCUAGGUUUGGUUGGGAUGGCAGGUAGCUUGUUGGCUCAUUUGAGUUAGCAAGUGUUAUUGGCUGACCGUAGUAAAUUUGUGCAAUAUGUCGGAGAUGACGGCUUUGCUCACGCUGUUUAGCAAAUCAAGUUGGGUUUGAUUGGCACGUACUUGUUCCGGCAGGUCUGUCAGUAUCCCAGUCGGGUUUGUUGGCAGUGGUGCGUGACGUGUAUUGAGCCUAUAGUCUGUGGUGUAGUGGUAGACUAUCCACC